RNAcentral lists this small nuclear RNA (112 nucleotides) under Cyprinodon variegatus (sheepshead minnow). RNAcentral describes it as "U5 spliceosomal RNA (ENSCVAG00000014011.1)". It matches the Rfam family "U5 spliceosomal RNA". From Rfam's summary of the family: U5 RNA is a component of both types of known spliceosome. The precise function of this molecule is unknown, though it is known that the 5' loop is required for splice site selection and p220 binding, and that both the 3' stem-loop and the Sm site are important for Sm protein binding and cap methylation. Lineage: Eukaryota; Metazoa; Chordata; Actinopteri; Cyprinodontiformes; Cyprinodontidae. The record is from Rfam by way of RNAcentral.
GCACUCUUGUUUCUCUUCAGAUCGUGUAAAUCUUUUGCCUUUUACUAAAGAUUUCCUUGCAGGGGAACAACAAGAGUGGGGGCUUAGUCGUUAGGCCAUAGAGCUUGGAAUC